Molecule: ribosomal RNA, 407 nt
Filed under: uncultured bacterium
Lineage: Bacteria
Description: partial 16S ribosomal RNA
Rfam family: Bacterial small subunit ribosomal RNA
Source: RNAcentral
GACGAACGCUGGCGGCGUGCCUAAUACAUGCAAGUAGGACGCAGUUGCGAACGGGUGAGUAACGCCUAGGUAACUGCCUAUUAGAGGGGGAUAACUAUUGGAAACGAUAGCUAAUACCGCAUACUAGUAGAUGGACCUGCGUUGUAUUAGCUAGUAGGUAGGGUAAUGGCCUACCUAGGCGACGAUACAUAGCCGACCUGGGAGGGUGAUCGGCCAACAUGGGACUGAGACACGGCCCCGACUCCUACCGGAGGCAGCAGGAGGGAAUCUUCGGCAAUGGGGGGAACCCUGACCGAGCAACGCCGCGGUAGAUAAGGAGGUUUUCGGGUCGUAAAUCUCUGUUGUUCAGGAAGCGGUACUUAACCAGAAAGGGACGGCUAACUACGUGCCAGCAGCCGCGGUAAUAC